Molecule: ribosomal RNA, 253 nt
Filed under: uncultured bacterium
Lineage: Bacteria
Description: partial 16S ribosomal RNA
Rfam family: Bacterial small subunit ribosomal RNA
Source: RNAcentral
UACGUAGGGAGCAAGCGUUGUCCGGAAUCAUUGGGCGUAAAGCGCGCGUAGGCGGCCCUGUAAGUCCGUUGUGAAAGUCAAAGGCUCAACCUUUGAAAGCCGAUGGAUACUGCAGGGCUAGAGUCCGGAAGAGGCGAGUGGAAUUCCUGGUGUAGCGGUGGAAUGCGCAGAUAUCAGGAGGAACACCAAUAGCGAAGGCAGCUCGCUGGGACGGUACUGACGCUAAGGCGCGAAAGCGUGGGGAGCGAGCCGG